Long non-coding RNA from Pan paniscus (pygmy chimpanzee), 743 nucleotides. The record is from Ensembl. NCBI's taxonomy places the organism in Eukaryota, Metazoa, Chordata, Mammalia, Primates, Hominidae.
GCAGAUCAUUGCUUCGGCUUUCAGGACCUUUGCAAACUUAGAUUAAAUAAAUUAACUUAAAUUAGCUAUCAAAUAUAGCUGUGAGUUUGAAGGGUUCAUAGCCUGGAGGAAAACAGAAGUAAAAUUCAGCAUCUGUCAAAGGUUGCCAAAGUAGAAAUAAACAUGAUAGUUAUCCGAUCCCUUUCCUAGGGCACCAGAUUUGGGCACCACCACAUGUGAUGUGGGGCGGAUUGGCCAAUAGAAGCCAAGUGAAGUCAGACGCUCAAGAUGUAACUAAAGAGACAUACCUAUUUGCGGCCUACUUCCUAUUCUCCAAGUGCAUUUUAAUUCCCCUGACUGCAUGAUUUUGUUCAGCAUUUAUGAAUAUCAUCUGUCUAAUCUGGAGAAACACGUCUUAUAGUUGGCCACUCUCAUGGUUCUUGUUGCCUUCUGUUGUUUGGAGGAAUCUAAGGAUUUAUGGAAGUUAUGUUGGUAUAUCAGAAGCUUGUUGGUAUAUAUUUGACACUGCCUCUGGAACUCCUUGCCGAACACAAAGCUGUGCUAUUUGCCUGCCUAGAGCAUUGAUGGUAAAAUAGAGUUUUCAAUGUCUGUCACUCAAGGCCUUUCCACAUCUCACCUCAAUCCCUUUUCUCCUCUAAUUUCUGGCCUUACGUUCUCUAAGUCACCAUGUGUUUUACCUAUAAUAAACAAUUUUGCUCCUUAAAUGAUGCCUUACAUUUUUUUUCCCUGAAUUUGCAUCUUUG